GUACUCUCACACUCCUCAUCAUUUGGAUUGGGAGCGGUGGACCUGGGUGUUGCCGCGUUACUGUGGCUCACCUGAAAUGCAUUCGUGCACCUCCUGGUUGGACAUAGUACGGCGUGAUAAGUGUCUUCGCCGGCACCUCGCAAGAGGGUGGCUGAUCGGGAGCUCUGUGCUUCCAACCGUCCUCGGACAAUGACUGACA
Molecule: unclassified non-coding RNA, 199 nt
Filed under: uncultured Sebacinaceae
Lineage: Eukaryota; Fungi; Basidiomycota; Agaricomycetes; Sebacinales; Sebacinaceae
Description: sequence contains ITS2
Source: RNAcentral